AUAAUGGAUAGCAAUAUCUAUGGUGGCGACCGGCGCACGGGUGCGUAACGCGUAUGCAACCUACCUUUAACAGGGGGAUAACACUGAGAAAUUGGUACUAAUACCCCAUAAUAUCAUAGAAGGCAUCUUUUAUGGUUGAAAAUUCCGAUGGUUAGAGAUGGGCAUGCGUUGUAUUAGCUAGUUGGUGGGGUAACGGCUCACCAAGGCGACGAUCAGUAGCCGGCCUGAGAGGGUGAACGGCCACAUUGGGACUGAGACACGGCCCAGACUCC
This 272-nucleotide ribosomal RNA is filed under the name uncultured Alistipes sp. Its description in RNAcentral is "partial 16S ribosomal RNA". It matches the Rfam family "Bacterial small subunit ribosomal RNA", at positions 69 to 339 of the family's 1533-position model. The record is from RNAcentral. Lineage: Bacteria; Pseudomonadati; Bacteroidota; Bacteroidia; Bacteroidales; Rikenellaceae.